CAGCCGCCGCGGUAAUACAGAGGAUGCAAGCGUUAUCCGGAAUGAUUGGGCGUAAAGCGUCUGUAGGUGGCUUUUCAAGUCCGCCGUCAAAUCCCAGGGCUCAACCCUGGACAGGCGGUGGAAACUACCAAGCUGGAGUACGGUAGGGGCAGAGGGAGUUUCCGGUGGAGCGGUGAAAUGCGUUGAGAUCGGAAAGAACACCAACGGUGAAAGCACUCUGCUGGGCCGACACUGACACUGAGAGACGAAAGCUAGGGGAGCAAAUGGGAUUAGAUACCCCCGUAGUCCCUGUCUCUUAUAU
Molecule: ribosomal RNA, 301 nt
Filed under: uncultured bacterium
Lineage: Bacteria
Description: partial 16S ribosomal RNA
Rfam family: Bacterial small subunit ribosomal RNA
Source: RNAcentral